Molecule: long non-coding RNA, 895 nt
Organism: Lathyrus oleraceus (garden pea)
Lineage: Eukaryota; Viridiplantae; Streptophyta; Magnoliopsida; Fabales; Fabaceae
Exons: 3
Source: RefSeq, a predicted model, not a curated record
GUUAUUCCUCUUGAUCUCAUCUUUCCAAAGAGCUGAAAUUCAUACAUUUUGGACAAGGAAUGCAUAGGCUGCGCAUAAAUAUACAUUUUAUAAAUUAAAUGAAGAUUAUGAGGAAUUAAAUGAAGAUACAUUAGUGAGGGCUUUGAUUCCAGAUCAACCAGAUCGAAUCACACUACUCAAGAACCCUAAAUAUACAUUUUAUAAAUUAAAUGAAGAUUAUGAGGAAUCAAAGUCCAAUUAGUGAGGGCUUUGAUUCCCCUAACCUUGUGCGACCUGAUGGCAAACAAUUUGGAGCAAAAUGAAUCAAGAAUUUUGACCUACCUCUGAAUAUGAAGCCUGAAGGUGAAGGCGUUCCUUGACGAAGGUUGGGCUUCGAGGAAGGUGAAAAUGAAUGAAGCAAUCGUACGAAGGUUGAACCUUCAACUUGAGCCAUGAACAUGGAGCUAAGUACUAUUUAUGUUUAAGAGUGCUUAGCUUAUGUCACAAUCCCUUUUCCUGUCAAACUAAUCCUGCAUUCUGUCAUAAAAGUAUCCCAUCUGUCAUGUUAACUUGCCUUUCUUUCCUGAUUUUGGAUGAUCAACAUUGUGAUUGUCAUGGUGGAUUUGUCUUACAGGGUCAUGAUUCCGUUGCAACAAAAUCUGCAGGUUCUGCAUUGCUAAUAUGGGCUACUUGAAAGGUCAUUAGAGUAUACAAUAUUAUCGGUAGUACUUAUUGUGCUAAUAGAUAGAAGAAUAGACUUACAAAAAAACUGGUAAGUUCCUCCAGUGGCAAAGGCCUGAAAAUUCGAAGUUUCAAUGUAUGUUGCAAAGAAAAUAUGACAUUAUGAUUGGUUAUGCCAACACAAUUUAGUAUAUGAUGUUAUCCAACUAAGAAGUCCACAAAGAUUACCUCUCCA